RNAcentral lists this ribosomal RNA (254 nucleotides) under uncultured bacterium. RNAcentral's name for it is "partial 16S ribosomal RNA". It matches the Rfam family "Bacterial small subunit ribosomal RNA", at positions 524 to 776 of the family's 1533-position model. The record is from RNAcentral.
UACAGAGGUCUCAAGCGUUGUUCGGAUUCAUUGGGCGUAAAGGGUGCGUAGGUGGCGCGCUAAGUCAGGUGUGAAAUUUCGGAGCUUAACUCCGAAACUGCAUUUGAUACUGGCGUGCUUGAGGACUGGAGAGGAGACUGGAAUUCAUGGUGUAGCAGUGAAAUGACGUAGAGAUCAUGAGGAAGACCAGUGGCGAAGGCGGGUCUCUGGACAGUUCCUGACACUGAGGCACGAAGGCCAGGGGAGCAAACGGG